This 331-nucleotide RNase P RNA is filed under the name Candidatus Jorgensenbacteria bacterium. RNAcentral describes it as "RNase P RNA component class A". It matches the Rfam family "Bacterial RNase P class A". Rfam says of the family: Ribonuclease P (RNase P) is a ubiquitous endoribonuclease, found in archaea, bacteria and eukarya as well as chloroplasts and mitochondria. Lineage: Bacteria; Candidatus Joergenseniibacteriota. The record is from RNAcentral.
UCGGUAAGCCAAGCGAUAGCCCUGACGCUUCAGUCGGGGAGGAAAGUCCGGACACUUACUUCAUUUUUGAAGUUAAAAAGGUAGCGGGUAACGCCCGUCGUCCGUAAGGAUAGAGGUGCGAACAGAGACGCCUUAUUUCGCAAGGAGUAGGGGAUCCAGUAAUGGAUUAGCUCCGACGGUAACAUCGGAGGUGAAACGGCUAAAUCCUUACCCGGGUGCAAGGUCGUGCUCUGAUGUUUCAGUCAGAGAGUGCCGCAUUGAGCCUGAGAGUAAUUGAUGGCCCAGAUGAAUUAUCGCAUAAACAGAAUCCGGCUUAUGGCUUGCCGGUUUU